This 465-nucleotide ribosomal RNA is filed under the name uncultured bacterium. Its description in RNAcentral is "partial 16S ribosomal RNA". It matches the Rfam family "Bacterial small subunit ribosomal RNA", at positions 28 to 507 of the family's 1533-position model. The record is from RNAcentral.
GACGAACGCUGGCGGCGUGCUUAACACAUGCAAGUCGAACGGAAAGGCCCUGCUUGCAGGGUACUCGAGUGGCGAACGGGUGAGUAACACGUGGGUGAUCUGCCCUGCACUUCGGGAUAAGCCUGGGAAACUGGGUCUAAUACCGGAUAGGAGCCAUUUUUAGUGUGAUGGUUGGAAAGUUUUUUCGGUGUAGGAUGAGCUCGCGGCCUAUCAGCUUGUUGGUGGGGUAAUGGCCUACCAAGGCGGCGACGGGUAGCCGGCCUGAGAGGGUGGACGGCCACAUUGGGACUGAGAUACGGCCCAGACUCCUACGGGAGGCAGCAGUGGGGAAGAUUGCACAAUGGGCGCAAGCCGGAUGCAGCGACGCCGCGUGGGGGAUGACGGCCUUCGGGUUGUAAACUCCUUUCGCUAGGGACGAAGCUUUUUGUGACGGUACCUAGAGAAGAAGCACCGGCUAACUACGUG